AACAUCCUUCUCUCCAAAGUGGAAAGAUGUGGAUUUGAUGGGUGGACUGUUCAAUGGAUGAAGAACUGGCUGCAGGAUCGAGUCCAGAGAGUGGUGGUCAAGGCAACAUCCACUACCAAUACAAGCUAGGGGAAGAAAGGAUUGAGCAUACCUCUGCUGAAAAGGACCUGGGAGUACUGGUAGAUAGAAAGCUGGACAUCAUCCGGCAGUGUGCUCUCGCAGCUCAGAAAGCCAGCCUGUGUCCUGGGCUGCAUCAAAAGAAGCAUGGCCAGCAGGUUGAGGGAUGUGAUCCUACCCCUCUAUUCUGUGAUGUUGAGGCCUCACCUGGAGUACUGUGUCCAGAUGUGGAGUCCUCAGUACAGGAGAGACAUAGACCUGUUGGAGCGCGUCCCAAGAAGGGCCACAAAAAUGAUCCAAGGAAUGGAACACUUCUCCUAGGAGGACUGGCUGAGAGAGCUGUACCUCUUCAGCCUGGGGAAGAGAAGGCUCCAGGGAGAACUGAUAGUGGCCUUUCAGUAUCUAAAGGGGAGCUACAGGAAAGAAGGGGACGGAAUCUUUUGCAGUGACUAUGGUGACAGGACAAGGUGAAAUCGUUUCAAACUUAGGGUAGAUUUAGACUGGAUGUAAGGAAAAAGUCUUUUGCAGUGAGGGUAGUGAGACACUGAAACAGGUUGCCCAGGGAUGUGGUUGAUGCCCCAUCCCUGGAGACUUUCAAUGUGUGGCUGCACAAGGCUGUGAGCACCCUGAUCUAGCUGUCAGUGACCCUGUUCACUGCAGGGCAGUUGCCAAUAUAACCUUUAAAGGUCCCUUCCAACUCUAAGGAUUCUAUCAUUGUAUGAAAUACUUCCUUAUUGUAGAAUAAUAUAAUAUUCUACAUUUUUUUCACAUGUAGUGUUGUUUUUUUUGUUUGUUUAUAGUUAUCACUGGCAAUUCAUAGUUUGCAGUUCUUGGUGUCUCAAAGGAAACAUUUUCUCUUUUGAAUGAAGAUUGUACAAAAUGGUGAAUUUCUAAAACAAUUUUGAGAGCAGGAAUACCUAUAUUUAUUAUGAUUAGUUUCUCAAAAGGGUGCACAGUAGGUUGCUAAUGUAAAGUGUGAUUGCAGGGCUAAACAAAAUGUAUCGUUUAAAUUUUAAAAUUGUCCAUGCCUACUGCUGUUGAGUUUUAUGAAUGCAUUUUAGAAUAAGAAACAACAUCAACUUUAAAUUAUUAUUACUAAUUUUUAUAUUGUAAAGCUUUACAGCUGCUAAAGAAAUACAUGGAAUUCUCACAUCCUUCAAGUCAAUAGUUUUGAUUUGUAUUAAUUUCCAUUUUACCAUAUUUUUAAUGUUUAAAGUAAGGGUUAAAAACCUUUUCAAUAUAGAUUUUUGUUUUAUUUGAUAAAUGCAGAGGAAGUUGCUAAUGCAUAUUAAUUCCUUUUAAUAAUAGUCACAGUUCUGUAUCAUGUUCUUAUCUAAUUCACAGUUCAGAGAGGUGUUUUGUCCUUUACUUGACAAUAAAUGAGAUUUUAGAGUAGAAAAUUCAUCCAUUAAUACUUUUUGUUAUGAAACCCACUGUUUUUCACGAGUUAGUUAUCAAGUGUAUUAAUAAGUAUCUGUCAAAUGAGUUGAAAGUGAAAUUAAAUCCGUAGUGUCACAAGCAUCAUUUCAGUAGUGCAGUCACAGCGUACUCCUGUAAGCUUCCUAGUCAGCUUUUGAUCCACAGAUUGCAAUAUGCAGUAUCUUCAUACUUUACUUAAAACAGUAAUUUUUUAAGCUUAAUGGAGCAUUUAAGGUUUCUAGCUCCAGUUUUUAAUCAAUAGGAAGUUGUCCUUUGUGUGUUCUAAAUGACUACAGUUUUUAAAGCCUAGUCUUUCCAGUCUGUUAAUUGGAAAGUGAAAUGGAAAAUCAAAACUUUGGACCCAGGAGAAAGAACUACAGUUUCUGCAUUCAUAUUUUUAGCUGUGAAUUGCUAGUAACUCAACUGUGCAGUGUACAGAGUUAUGUUUAUAUCAUAUACACUGGUGCACAAAAGCAAGUGUUUGCCUUGAUGAGUUACUAUAUAACAAAUAAUUAUUUAGUCCAAACUCCGUGUUAAUUUUAUCUUCUUUCACUAUACAGGGCAAUAUCAAAGGGAAAAAAAUCAAAGGAAAAAAGUCUUAUCAACAAGUAAGGAAUUAUUAGAACAGAGGGAAAAAAAAAGGCAAUGAGGAUCAAUGAAACCAGUUGUUUAACUUCUUCUCUUAACCUGUAAAUAUUUCAUCUUUAAUACCUCAGUCCCUGUUUGCUUACCAGGAACAUAGCAUUUACCUGAAUGGAUAGCCAUGGAAUCCUUCCAUUUAAUUUCCCUACCUGAUGGAAAAGAUAGAGAAAAAAUGCGUAUCAAAUGCAGUCUUCUUAAUGAUAAUCAGACUUCUACGUUUAUCACUUACAUGAAUAUAUUUUAACUUUUGCUGCUGUAUAUGUUUACAUUUGUAACAAUAUCAGACUUUUUAUUUUUUAUUUUUUUUCCUCUUUAUUAUAUUUUGUCUGAAAAAAGUAUGUUAAAGGUUUAAGCCCUCAACACUCAACUCAUAGUAUUAUUGGACUGACUGUUUUCUGAAGUGUAGUUAUCUUCACUGAGAUGUGGACACAAAUGAGACAGAAUCCUGUCUUUUAAUUUUUUUUUUUUGAGAAAAUAUUACUAAGAUAUUGUUUUAUUUCAUUAUUUAUUAAUUUCUUGUCUAACUUCAUUUUUUAGCUUAAGGAAAUAAAAAACGGGGCUGUAUUGCAGUGUGUGAAAGAAAAAUUCAUGGAAAUACAAGACUUUUUAAAUCCAUCAGCUAUAAAGAGAUUUUUAUCAAAGUAGAAUUUUGUUAAUAAGGUUAGCUUUACAGGUAGGAGACUUUUAAGGCCACUGGGAUGGAAGAAAACAAAUCGAAAAUGCUGCAUUGUCUGAUUUGUUGGCAAGAAGGUAUGAAGAUCUGCCAAGAAAUGGGUCU
Numida meleagris (helmeted guineafowl) is the source of this 2956-nucleotide long non-coding RNA. RefSeq lists it as uncharacterized. The record is from RefSeq and is a predicted model, not a curated record. The transcript has 2 exons. NCBI's taxonomy places the organism in Eukaryota, Metazoa, Chordata, Aves, Galliformes, Numididae.